RNAcentral lists this ribosomal RNA (460 nucleotides) under uncultured bacterium. RNAcentral's name for it is "bacterial SSU rRNA". It matches the Rfam family "Bacterial small subunit ribosomal RNA", at positions 29 to 524 of the family's 1533-position model. The record is from RNAcentral.
AACGAACGCUGGCGGCAUGCCUAACACAUGCAAGUCGAACGGGAUCCUGGCUUCGGCCAGGUGAGAGUGGCGGACGGGUGAGUAACGCGUGGGAACCUGCCCAUUGGUCUGGGAUAACUGCGGGAAACUGCAGCUAAUACCGGAUGUACCCGAGAGGGGAAAGAUUUAUCGCCGAUGGAGGGGCCCGCGUCAGAUUAGGUAGUUGGUGAGGUAACGGCUCACCAAGCCUACGAUCUGUAGCUGGUCUGAGAGGAUGAUCAGCCACACUGGGGCUGAGAUACGGCCCAGACUCCUACGGGAGGCAGCAGUGGGGAAUAUUGGACAAUGGGGGCAACCCUGAUCCAGCAAUGCCGCGUGAGUGAUGAAGGCCUUAGGGUUGUAAAGCUCUUUUACCAGGGACGAUGAUGACGGUACCUGGAGAAUAAGCCCCGGCUAACUUCGUGCCAGCAGCCGCGGUAAU